This 478-nucleotide ribosomal RNA is filed under the name uncultured bacterium. RNAcentral describes it as "partial 16S ribosomal RNA". It matches the Rfam family "Bacterial small subunit ribosomal RNA", at positions 28 to 507 of the family's 1533-position model. The record is from RNAcentral.
GAUGAACGCUGGCGGCGUGCUUAACACAUGCAAGUCGAACGGGAAAUAUUUCAUUGAGACUUCGGUGGAUUUGAUUUAUUUCUAGUGGCGGACGGGUGAGUAACGCGUGGGUAACCUGCCUUAUACAGGGGGAUAACAGUCAGAAAUGGCUGCUAAUACCGCAUAAGCGCACAGAGCUGCAUGGCUCAGUGUGAAAAACUCCGGUGGUAUAAGAUGGACCCGCGUUGGAUUAGCUAGUUGGUGGGGUAACGGCCCACCAAGGCGACGAUCCAUAGCCGGCCUGAGAGGGGGAACGGGCACAUUGGGACUGAGACACGGCCCAGACUCCUACGGGAGGCAGCAGUGGGGAAUAUUGCACAAUGGGGGAAACCCUGAUGCAGCGACGCCGCGUGAAGGAAGAAGUAUCUCGGUAUGUAAACUUCUAUCAGCAGGGAAGAUAGUGACGGUACCUGACUAAGAAGCCCCGGCUAACUACGUG